GCGGGNGUGGUGNAAUUGGUAGACACGCUAGACUUAGGAUCUAGUGCCGCAAGGUGUGAGAGUUCGAGUCUCUCCGCCCGCACAA
RNAcentral lists this transfer RNA (85 nucleotides) under Flavobacteriaceae bacterium. Its description in RNAcentral is "tRNA-Leu". It matches the Rfam family "tRNA". Rfam says of the family: Transfer RNA (tRNA) molecules are approximately 80 nucleotides in length. Their secondary structure includes four short double-helical elements and three loops (D, anti-codon, and T loops). Further hydrogen bonds mediate the characteristic L-shaped molecular structure. tRNAs have two regions of fundamental functional importance: the anti-codon, which is responsible for specific mRNA codon recognition, and the 3' end, to which the tRNAs corresponding amino acid is attached (by aminoacyl-tRNA synthetases). tRNAs cope with the degeneracy of the genetic code in two manners: having more than one tRNA (with a specific anti-codon) for a particular amino acid; and 'wobble' base-pairing, i.e. permitting non-standard base-pairing at the 3rd anti-codon position. The record is from RNAcentral. Lineage: Bacteria; Pseudomonadati; Bacteroidota; Flavobacteriia; Flavobacteriales; Flavobacteriaceae.